UAAAGAUUGUAUGAUGAAAUCAUUAUGUGA
Molecule: non-coding RNA, 30 nt
Filed under: Mus musculus (house mouse)
Lineage: Eukaryota; Metazoa; Chordata; Mammalia; Rodentia; Muridae
Source: RNAcentral